UGGGGAAUAUUGGACAAUGGGGGGAACCCUGAUCCAGCAAUGUCGCGUGUGUGAAGAAGGCCUGAGGGUUGUAAAGCACUUUCAGAGGGGAGGAGGACUAUUAGGUUAAGAGCUAGAUAGUUAGACGUUACCCUCAGAAGAAGCCCCGGCUAACUCCGUGCCAGCAGCCGCGGUAAUACGGAGGGGGCUAGCGUUGUUCGGAAUUACUGGGCGUAAAGGGCGUGUAGGCGGCCUGCCAAGUCAGAUGUGAAAGCCCCGGGCUUAACCUGGGAACUGCAUUUGAGACUGGCCGGCUAGAGGUUGGAAGAGGAGAGUGGAAUUCCCAGUGUAGAGGUGAAAUUCGUAGAUAUUGGGAAGAACACCAGUGGCGAAGGCGGCUCUCUGGUCCACACCUGACGCUGAGGCGCGAAAGCGUGGGGAGCAAACAGGAUUAGAUACCCCGGUAGUCCCUGAGCGGGCUGGCAAGGCGCAU
This 472-nucleotide ribosomal RNA is filed under the name uncultured bacterium. Its description in RNAcentral is "bacterial SSU rRNA". It matches the Rfam family "Bacterial small subunit ribosomal RNA", at positions 355 to 825 of the family's 1533-position model. The record is from RNAcentral.